CCCUUAGAUGUCCUGGGCCGCACGCGCGCUACACUGAUGCAUUCAACGAGGUCUACCUUGGCCGAGAGGCCUGGGCAAUCUUUUGAACCUGCAUCGUGAUAGGGAUAGAUUAUUGCAAUUAUUAAUCUUGAACGAGGAAUUCCUAGUAAACGCAGAUCAUCAAUCUGCAUUGAUUACGUCCCUGCCCUUUGUACACACCGCCCGUCGCACCUACCGAUUGAAUGGUCCGGUGAAGCCUCGGGAUUGUGGCGAGUUCCCUUUAUUGGGAGUUUGUCGCGAGAACUUGUCUAAACCUUAUCAUUUAGAGGAAGGUGAAGUCGUAACA
RNAcentral lists this ribosomal RNA (325 nucleotides) under uncultured eukaryote. Its description in RNAcentral is "partial 18S ribosomal RNA". It matches the Rfam family "Eukaryotic small subunit ribosomal RNA", at positions 1470 to 1796 of the family's 1831-position model. The record is from RNAcentral.